CCGGCCUUAGGUGGCUCAUUGGCCUCCCGCCAUUCGGACAUUCGAACGCUCCUUCUCUGCAUUUGACCAUCUGCUCUCCACUCCCUCUACUUUGUCCAAUCUUGACAGCAUGAAUUCCAAACCAGCUGGGAAGGGCAUUGAUUUGUGGUCCGAGUUAAUAGCUAGCGAAGGAAGCGAGGGCCAAGAAGAGGCGCGAGUAGAAGAGGUUUAUAGACGAAGAAGGCCAUCCCAGAAGACCGUUCAUGAAGUUCCUUUGAAGCAAAACUUAGGUUCGAAUCUUCGCGAUGUGAACAGAUUGAGUUUUGCUGCUGUUAACAGUAAGAGAAUUAGUUGGAACCGUGCCCUUUCCAUCAGAGGUAGGGCGAGUAUUGCAGUUGAGGCUUGUUUAGAUCAUCAGCUUCGGCAUAAGGAGGCAAAGAGAAAAGGAAAACCUGCUCUACCCAAAGGAAAGUUUGUACAACCUACCAACUUUGACAGGGAGCGUGCAUACUUUCAAGAGGUAGAUGCUUUUGAGUUGUUGGAGGAGAGCCCUUCACCCAAGAGAUUCGGUACAUGGGCAAGUAGUCAGUUUGAUAGUGCUGCAUUACCAUCUCUAUGCUCUAAAAUAGAAAAAUGGUUAAUUUCCAAGAAAUCAAAUUACAGUCUUGCACCUUCAAGCACGUUAUCAAAGAUAUUAGAAACUCCACUGGAGUCCAGAGAACCAAUUGGUGGCAAACAUUUGGACAAAUUCAAUUUGGGAACUCCUGAUAAGUCUGCUAGAGAGAUAGAUGCGCGCUUGUGCUCUAUUCAGAGAAGAUUUAUUUCCAGUCUAAAUGAUAUCGAUGCCCUUGAAAUAGAUAGCACUCGAGACAACAGAAGUACCAGAGCAGAAGAUGUGAGCACAGAGGAUCGUGCAGACCUUGAAGUUUCUGUGAAAAAACUUUCUUUAACAUCAACAUCUACUUCUUUCCAUAACUAUAAUUUGGAUCCAUUUAAUGCAUUAUUAGCAGUUUGUGGACAGUCAGCUCCUUCCACGCUUAAGGAUGCAUUCUCUAAUUAUUGUGACCCGGAAACUAUUGUCAAGGUUGGUGAAGGUACAUAUGGAGAAGCUUUUAAAGCUGGUAACACCGUUUGCAAGAUAGUUCCAAUUGACGGAGAUUUACAAGUUAAUGGAGAAGUGCAAAAGAGAUCAGAAGAACUGCUCGAGGAAGUCAUACUUUCCAGAACUCUGAAUUCUCUAAGAAAUCAAGAGGGCGGUGCUGAUAAUUUUUGCUCAACAUUCAUACGAACCAUAGAUUUAAGGGUGUGCCAAGGUUCUUAUGAUGCUCUACUAAUCAAGGCUUGGGAAGAUUGGGAUGAAAAGCAUGGCUCGGAAAAUGAUCACCCUAAGGAGUUUCCAGAGAAACAGUGUUAUGUGGUGUUUGUUCUCCAACAUGGGGGAAAAGAUCUUGAAAGCUUUGUACUCCUGAACUUUGAUGAAGCCCAGAGCUUAUUAGUACAGGUUACUGCGGCCUUGGCUGUGGCUGAAGCUGCUUAUGAAUUUGAACACCGAGAUCUGCAUUGGGGAAAUGUACUUUUGAGUCGGAAUGAUUCUGAAGCGCUGCAGUUCACCCUUGAGGGUAAGAACAUGACCGUACAAACAUUUGGACUUCAGAUUUCGAUCAUUGACUUCACCCUAUCGCGAAUCAAUACUGGUGAAGACAUACUCUUUUUAGAUCUCUCAUCGGAUCCUGAUCUCUUUAAGGGUGCAAAAGGAGAUAGACAAUCAGAAACAUAUAGGAAAAUGAAGGAGGUGACUGGAGACUGCUGGGAGGGGAGGUACAAGUGUUUAUGCGUUUAUCUUUCUAUCAUAUCUGAAUCAAUUAUAGAGCUUUCCUAGAACGAACGUCCUGUGGUUACUCUACCUUGUGCAUAUAUUACUUCUGAAGAAAUCAUUCGAGCGUAGUUCAAAGCAUGAAAGGGAACUGCGGGCAUUCAAGAAACGUCUGGACAAAUAUAACUCAGCAAAAGAAGCAAUUUUUGAUCCAUUUUUCAAUGAGUUGAUUUUUUGGUCAAGCAGUGUGGAGUAGAGCUGGAUGAUUUUAGACUCCAACACGAAGUAGAAUGAAGUCCUGAUAUUGCUCCCUGCCGGUGGAUGUAAAUUAAUCUUUGUAUUUGUAAUGUUUAAAAAUUUAUAGACUAAAUUAACACAAAUGUAAACUAUAAUGACAACAGGUAUAUCUUAAGAACCUUUCUUUUACUUUAAAUUGUUAGGCUAUCUUGUUCCUCAACAGUGACUUUUCUCUUUUCAUCAUGAUUUAUCUCUGAGUUGUUAUAAUUAUGGAAAAUUAAAAGCAAACUUAUCAGAGA
Cucurbita moschata (crookneck pumpkin) is the source of this 2328-nucleotide RNA transcript. It is a transcript of the gene named serine/threonine-protein kinase haspin homolog, with no coding region annotated. The record is from RefSeq and is a predicted model, not a curated record. NCBI's taxonomy places the organism in Eukaryota, Viridiplantae, Streptophyta, Magnoliopsida, Cucurbitales, Cucurbitaceae. The transcript has 15 exons.